RNAcentral lists this ribosomal RNA (458 nucleotides) under uncultured bacterium. Its description in RNAcentral is "partial 16S ribosomal RNA". It matches the Rfam family "Bacterial small subunit ribosomal RNA", at positions 338 to 795 of the family's 1533-position model. The record is from RNAcentral.
CCUACGGGAGGCAGCAGUGAGGAAUAUUGGUCAAUGGGCGAGAGCCUGAACCAGCCAAGUCGCGUGAGGGAGUACUGCCCUAUGGGUUGUAAACCUCUUUUGUCGGGGAGCAAAAGCCGGACGUGUCCGGCUGUGAGAGUACCCGAAGAAAAAGCAUCGGCUAACUCCGUGCCAGCAGCCGCGGUAAUACGGAGGAUGCGAGCGUCAUCCGGAUUUAUUGGGGUUAAAGGGUGCGCAGGCGGCUUUUUAAGUCAGCGGUCAAAUCGUGGGGCUCAACCCCAUCCAGCCGUUGAAACUGGGGAUCUAGAGUGUGCGAGAGGUAUGCGGAAUGCGUGGUGUAGCGGUGAAAUGCAUAGAUAUCACGCAGAACCCCGAUUGCGAAGGCAGCAUACCGGUGCACAACUGACGCUCAGGCACGAAAGCGUGGGUAUCGAACAGGAUUAGAUACCCUGGUAGUC